RNAcentral lists this long non-coding RNA (480 nucleotides) under Mytilus galloprovincialis (Mediterranean mussel). Lineage: Eukaryota; Metazoa; Mollusca; Bivalvia; Mytilida; Mytilidae. The record is from RNAcentral.
GUUAAACAUGUUUGUGAGAGCUCAAUCCUAACUCUAACAUGGGACAGUUGUGUUACAGCUUAAAAUAAGAACAAAUUGUUUUUUCUUUCAAACAAGGUAAUAAUGUAUAUCUUUAUUUUAUAAAAUUGGUCAUGGAUAGAAAAAUAUAAAACAUUGAUUGGCACACAGUUAACAGUAAGCAAAUAAGAGGAUUGUAUUUUUGAUUCAUUUUGAUUGAUUCGCAAUUUCUGUGCCAAUUAUUUCUAAAACAAGAGGGUGGUCUUUCAUCACAGGCCACUGAGCUUUGAUAUUGUCCAUUUCACGUAAAUAGUUUGAAACGCUACGAAGUAGUGUAAACUUGUCAAGUAUUUUCCAGAGUCUUUCGUCUGGGUUCUUGUAACUUUUCUUUGCUACAUUUCGUAAACAAUUAAUCAAAUACAACUGUAUUUUCUCCACUUUUUCAGGUUCUUGUAAUGUGCACUGAUCUACAAUACAGAAACA